Lonchura striata (white-rumped munia) is the source of this 316-nucleotide non-coding RNA. The record is from RefSeq and is a predicted model, not a curated record. Lineage: Eukaryota; Metazoa; Chordata; Aves; Passeriformes; Estrildidae.
CGGCUGCAUGGUGCUGGUGCUGCGCUGGGCAUCCACAUCAAUUCCCUCCCCCCGGCAGCAGGAUGCGGCCCCCGCUGCAGGAGGAGGAGCAGCAGCAGGAGGAGGAGCGGGGAGCGACCGUCUCCCUCCCGAUUCCCUGAAGCCUGACUCAUGGAGUGCUGCAGGUUCAGCAUGAAUCCUGGAGGAUUUUACAUCUGGGAUGAUAAAUCCUGAUGGAGCUGCCUCUUGUAGCUGCCCAUGGCUCUUUCACAUCUUAAUAAUAGUGCUGAUAAUAGGGGAAAACAAGGAUGUGAAAUAAAGAUUAUCAAAAAGUCAA